This 465-nucleotide ribosomal RNA is filed under the name Vreelandella stevensii. Its description in RNAcentral is "partial 16S ribosomal RNA". It matches the Rfam family "Bacterial small subunit ribosomal RNA", at positions 338 to 795 of the family's 1533-position model. The record is from RNAcentral. Lineage: Bacteria; Pseudomonadati; Pseudomonadota; Gammaproteobacteria; Oceanospirillales; Halomonadaceae.
CCUACGGGUGGCUGCAGUGGGGAAUAUUGGACAAUGGGCGAAAGCCUGAUCCAGCCAUGCCGCGUGUGUGAAGAAGGCCUUCGGGUUGUAAAGCACUUUCAGUGGGGAAGAAAGCCUUGGGGCUAAUACCCUCGAGGAAGGACAUCACCCACAGAAGAAGCACCGGCUAACUCCGUGCCAGCAGCCGCGGUAAUACGGAGGGUGCGAGCGUUAAUGGGAAUUACUGGGCGUAAAGCGCGCGUAGGCGGUCUGAUAAGCCGGUUGUGAAAGCCCCGGGCUCAACCUGGGAACGGCAUCCGGAACUGUCAGGCUAGAGUGCAGGAGAGGAAGGUAGAAUUCCCGGUGUAGCAGUGAAAUGCGUAGAGAUCGGGAGGAAUACCAGUGGCGAAGGCGGCCUUCUGGACUGACACUGACGCUGAGGUGCGAAAGCGUGGGUAGCAAACAGGAUUAGAUACCCCAGUAGUC